RNAcentral lists this ribosomal RNA (468 nucleotides) under uncultured bacterium. RNAcentral's name for it is "partial 16S ribosomal RNA". It matches the Rfam family "Bacterial small subunit ribosomal RNA", at positions 28 to 507 of the family's 1533-position model. The record is from RNAcentral.
GACGAACGCUGGCGGCGUGCUUAACACAUGCAAGUCGAACGGAAAGGCCCUACGUUUGUGGGUUUCUCGAUUGGCGAACGGGUGAGUAACACGUGAGUAACCUGCCCUUGACUGUGGGAGAACUUCAGGAAACUGGGGCGAAUAUCGGGGAGGAUCUCCUGCUGCAUGUGGGGGGUAGGAGAGAUUCGGCGGUGGUGGAUGUACUCGCGGCUUAUCAGCUUGUUGGUGGGGUAGUUGCGUACCAAGGCUUUGACGGGUAGCCGGCCUGAGAGGGUGACCGGCCACAUUGGGACUGAGAUACGGCCCAGACUCCUACGGGCGGCAGCAGUGGGGAAUAUUGCACAAUGGGCGGAAGCCUGAUGCAGAAACGCCGCGUGCGGGAUGCCGGCCUUCGGGUUGUAAACCGCUUUCGCCUGUGACGAAGCGUGAGUGACGGUAAUGGGUAAAGAAGCACCGGCUAACUACGUG